RNAcentral lists this ribosomal RNA (499 nucleotides) under uncultured bacterium. RNAcentral describes it as "partial 16S ribosomal RNA". It matches the Rfam family "Bacterial small subunit ribosomal RNA", at positions 28 to 507 of the family's 1533-position model. The record is from RNAcentral.
GGCGAACGCUGGCGGCGUGCCUAAUACAUGCAAGUCGAGCGGACUGACUGGGAGCUUGCUCUUGUUCGGUCAGCGGCGGACGGGUGAGUAACACGUGGGCAACCUGCCCGCAAGACCGGGAUAACUCCGGGAAACCGGAGCUAAUACCGGAUAACACCGAAGACCGCAUGGUCUUUGGUUGAAAGGCGGCGCAAGCUGCCACUUGCGGAUGGGCCCGCGGCGCAUUAGUUAGUUGGUGAGGUAACGGCUCACCAAGGCGACGAUGCGUAGCCGGCCUGAGAGGGUGACCGGCCACACUGGGACUGAGACACGGCCCAGACUCCUACGGGAGGCAGCAGUAGGGAAUCUUCCGCAAUGGGCGAAAGCCUGACGGAGCGACGCCGCGUGAGCGAAGAAGGCCUUCGGGUCGUAAAGCUCUGUUGUGAGGGACGAAGGAGCGCCGUUUGAAGAAGGCGGCGCGGUGACGGUACCUCACGAGGAAGCCCCGGCUAACUACGUG